GCUUGAGCCUCCGGUUUCACCACUCUUUCGGGUUCGAGAUCGAGGUGGGAGAUUUUGUGCCGGUGAACUCCGUGCACCACGCCGGGAGAGGAGCUGGCUGCCUAGUGGAGCUGAGAGGGUUACCCAAACCUAUAGGCCGACCUAGCCCCGGGGUCUAUCCUCAAUCCGAGUUCUACCUUGAUCUUCAAUGUUGUACACGUUUCUUGUCCUCCAACACCAGUUCUGGCGGGGAAGUCCGGACCUCCAGACUUAGAGCUCCCUACAGGGCUGUCGGUGACCUAGCUGGAAACCUCGAAUAUAAAUCAACAUCAAUCAGUCCAGGGACCUGGCGGUAAGGUGGGAGUAGUGUCCAUAUCUAUCUGAAGUGCUUAGAAAUAAAGCAAAGGUGGUAUGAGUUGA
This is a long non-coding RNA of Pteropus alecto (black flying fox), 399 nucleotides long. RefSeq lists it as uncharacterized. The transcript has 2 exons. The record is from RefSeq and is a predicted model, not a curated record. Lineage: Eukaryota; Metazoa; Chordata; Mammalia; Chiroptera; Pteropodidae.